AUUGAAAAGUAUUCAAAACGAUCGGUAUCGACGGUAAUCAAAUAUGUCUUACCAGGUUUUUGGUUUAGUGGGUUACCACUGACUAAAAUCACGUCUUAUCAUGUAUCUCAGAUUUAUAACGUUAUUGGUACGUCCAAAUCGGUAUUAUGGUAACCUCAGUAUACCUGAUAUUUGGUAAGACACAUUUGAAAUCACGCCAAAACUGAUUUUUUUAAACUAGGUAAAUUUAAAAAAAAAACUAAUUUUUUCAAUGUGACACAACUAUAGAAUUAGGGGAAAAUGUUGACAACCCCCAUUGUCCAUUUUUUUGUAAAAAAUAAUUAAGCGAUUUCUAAGACUUGUGUCUUGAAAGUGUUUAAAACUAGCCACUGCCCAGUUUCUAAAUAACUAAUAUUAUACAAGUAAAAUUAGCAAUGAUAACGGAAAUAUUAUACUAUUUUUAGAAUGUGAAUAUAAAAUACGACUUAUUGACAAAAACAAUUUCUUUCUCUCGU
Molecule: non-coding RNA, 494 nt
Organism: Cinara cedri
Lineage: Eukaryota; Metazoa; Arthropoda; Insecta; Hemiptera; Aphididae
Source: the annotation of a GenBank genome assembly